RNAcentral lists this ribosomal RNA (361 nucleotides) under uncultured Bacillus sp. Its description in RNAcentral is "bacterial SSU rRNA". It matches the Rfam family "Bacterial small subunit ribosomal RNA", at positions 1021 to 1382 of the family's 1533-position model. The record is from RNAcentral. Lineage: Bacteria; Bacillati; Bacillota; Bacilli; Caryophanales; Bacillaceae.
GGGUGACAGGGAGACAGGUGGUGCAUGGUUGUCGUCAGCUCGUGUCGUGAGAUGUUGGGUUAAGUCCCGCAACGAGCGCAACCCCUACGUUUAGUUUGCUAACGCGUGAAGGCGAGCACUCUAGACGAACUGCCGUUGACAAAACGGAGGAAGUGGGAUGACGUCAAAUCAUCAUGCCCCUUAUGUUCUGGGCUACACACGUGCUACAAUGGCCGGUACAGACGGACGCAAAGCCGCGAGGUGGAGCAAAUCCUUAAAGCUGGUCUCAGUUCGGAUUGCAGGCUGCAACUCGCCUGCAUGAAGUCGGAGUUGCUAGUAACCGCGCGUCAGCCAUAGUGCGGUGAAUACGUUCCCGGGCCUU